This 200-nucleotide ribosomal RNA is filed under the name uncultured bacterium. RNAcentral's name for it is "partial 16S ribosomal RNA". It matches the Rfam family "Bacterial small subunit ribosomal RNA", at positions 30 to 233 of the family's 1533-position model. The record is from RNAcentral.
AUUGAACGCUGGCGGCAGGCCUAACACAUGCAAGUCGAGCGCGAAAGUUCUUCGGAAUGAGUAAAGCGGCGGACGGGUGAGUAAUACAUGGGAAUCUGCCUGGUAGUGGGGGACAACGUUUCGAAAGGAACGCUAAUAUCGCAUACGCCUACGGGGAAAGGGGGGAAGGUCUUCGGACCUCUCGCUAUCAGAUGAGCCCA